CAGCCACUGGAUGCAGGGCCUUCUUAGUGGUGGUCUCAAGCAGAGAUAAAAUGGGAGAAUUUGUUACAUUAAACAGGAUGAAAGGCUAAAUCAAAGACAAGAAAAAGAAAUAUAACCUUUAAAAUAUUUAUAAUUAGUUUUUACCCCAAACCUGACUAUUUAUUGUUUACUGCCUUAUAGACACCAUGGAAGAAGGAAAGACCCUAAAAGGACUGUUAGUGCUAAGCCCAACAAUUGUGAAAGCACCUUGUCAGGAACAACAAGCUUCUCAAAACCGCGCUUUCCAUCUCCAAAGAAUAAACAAAAAGCCUACAACAAAUCUUUGAAUGAAGAUUUUGGAUGUUCAGCUGAUGAUGUUGAUGAUGAUGAUAAUGACUACAUCAAUGUGGGUGAUGCCAGUACAUAUGGAAAUAUCUGAUGACAGAAAUUCAUCUCUUUUUCUAUAUGUUCUUUUUACACUUCAGGUGUAUUUCUGUUUUAAAAUGAUAGCUUCAACAAAAUCUGUUUAUUGAUUUAUUGCUCAUUUGUUGGCAAGUAUACUAUGAUAUUGUACAUAUUGAAAGGUCUGCUGUACAGGAUCUUUGCUUCAAUUUUAACUGACUAGUGAUUCAUUAAAUGAUGUUUAUACCCAUAUACAUAUUUUCCAAAAAACACAUCUACUGUAAGCAUCAACUAAUUUUUUUUAUGUUUAUAGAAAAAUAUCUAUUUUUAUACCUGCUUAUACCUGCCCUAUUUGUUUAAGAAGGAUAACAAAAUAAAAUGGAAUA
Molecule: long non-coding RNA, 767 nt
Organism: Clarias gariepinus (North African catfish)
Lineage: Eukaryota; Metazoa; Chordata; Actinopteri; Siluriformes; Clariidae
Exons: 4
Source: RefSeq, a predicted model, not a curated record